CCUCACUUAACAAAUGACUUAAUAACCUCAGAGAUCCAGUAUAUUUUUACCAAUUCACUGCUAUUACUUGUGAAAAGCUUAAGCACAAACUGGCUGACACAAUAAGCUUAAGAUGUUAAGCUAAAAGGAAAAAAAAAAAAAGCAAAAGCAUGUGCAGAAGUGUCUGCAGCAACGUGAGCCAUAGUCUACACACACGGUACUCACACGUCGGUACAGGAGCUGCUCCCAGGGGCAGUGUACACAGCGCUCCUGAGGGGACUCCAUGGCCCAAGCCACCCAACAGCCACACUUGUUUGUGCUGCCCGAACUGUGAGGUAUCCACAACCACUGAGAUUCUCACAGGAGUGAGCCAGAAGAGCUUCUCCUCCCCUCACCUCUGCCGGCUGCAUCUAACAUACAGAUCCCACUGCUGCGGGAAAGACUACUGCCAGAAGGGCAGGCUGAACUCAAAGCAUACCCUCCAGAUUCCACAGGUGAAUUCCACGAUCCCUUAAAACCCAGCUUUUUCCUGAGAAACCUGGACGUACCUGAUCUUAAGGCUCACAUGUGACCAAGGCUACAAAGCCUGACUACCGGGCCUCAUGUCUGAUCCCCAGGUUCCACUGUGAACAUUACAACAGUUCUGGAAGCUCUGAAAAGCCUGAAACCCAAUCAGCCCAGUGUCCCUGAAGAUCAGGUUAUCAACGCUACAAGCAGAGGCACGUAAGGCUGUAUUUCCAACUGCUUUAGAUCUUUCACUUUGGUCUUCCUAGUGUGCUUCAGAGCAAGAAGCACUCCAAUUCUCUAUCACCUCUGACUUUCAUCAACGGGAAUUUCAGUUGCUGGAAGCUGUAGCUUAUCAUUUUAAGUCCAGCAGUAAAGAAAGAUCUGCUAGGACUAGGUCAUAACGGAGUGGUGGAGGGCUUACACAGCAUGAGUGAGGCCCUAGGUCCAAUCCCUAGCACAAGAAAAGACACAAAAAAC
This 963-nucleotide long non-coding RNA is filed under the name Heterocephalus glaber (naked mole-rat). RNAcentral's name for it is "lncRNA (ENSHGLG00100042256.1)". The record is from RNAcentral. Lineage: Eukaryota; Metazoa; Chordata; Mammalia; Rodentia; Bathyergidae.